RNAcentral lists this unclassified non-coding RNA (374 nucleotides) under uncultured Pseudobdellovibrionaceae bacterium. RNAcentral describes it as "uncultured Bdellovibrionaceae bacterium contains 16S-23S intergenic spacer region". The record is from RNAcentral. Lineage: Bacteria; Pseudomonadati; Bdellovibrionota; Bdellovibrionia; Bdellovibrionales; Pseudobdellovibrionaceae.
UCCGGUUUAACACCGGCAGUCUCUUUAGAGUGCCCAACUGAAUGCUGGCAACUAAAGACAAGGGUUGCGCUCGUUGCGGGACUUAACCCAACAUCUCACGACACGAGCUGACGACAGCCAUGCAGCACCUAUCUAGCGGCCCGAAGGCUAUGACAUCUCUGCCAUAUUCCACUAGUAGUUGAGCCCAGGUAAGGUUUUUCGCGUUGCAUCGAAUUAAACCACAUGCUCCACCGCUUGUGCGGGCCCCCGUCAAUUUCUUUGAGUUUUAAUCUUGCGACCGUACUCCCCAGGCGGGAUACUUAACGCGUUAGCUCCGGCACUGAAGGGGUCAAUACCUCCAACACCAAGUAUCCAUCGUUUACGGCGUGGACUAC